AAUGGGCGAAAGCCUGACGCAGCGACGCCGCGUGAGGGAUGAAGGGCUUCGGUUCGUAAACCUCUGUCAGAAGGGAAGAAAGGCAUUCGUGCUAAUCAGCGAAUGAUUGACGGUACCUUCAAAGGAAGCACCGGCUAACUCCGUGCCAGCAGCCGCGGUAAUACGGAGGGUGCAAGCGUUAAUCGGAAUCACUGGGCGUAAAGCGCAUGUAGGCUGCUUUAUAAGUCAGCGGUGAAAUCCCACGGCUUACCCGUGGAACUGCCGUUGAUACUGUUUAGCUUGAGUCUGUGAGAGGGUAGUGGAAUUCCAGGUGUAGGGGUGAAAUCCGUAGAGAUCUGGAGGAACAUCAGUGGCGAAGGCGACUACCUGGUGCAGUACUGACGCUGAGAUGCGAAAGCGUGGGGAUCAAA
This 410-nucleotide ribosomal RNA is filed under the name uncultured bacterium. Its description in RNAcentral is "bacterial SSU rRNA". It matches the Rfam family "Bacterial small subunit ribosomal RNA", at positions 370 to 772 of the family's 1533-position model. The record is from RNAcentral.